GCUCCCGUGGUGGAACUGGCAGACACGCAUGGCUUAGGACCAUGUUCCCGCAAGGGAUUAGAGGUUCAAAUCCUCUCGGGAGCA
This 84-nucleotide transfer RNA is filed under the name bacterium. RNAcentral describes it as "tRNA-Leu". It matches the Rfam family "tRNA". From Rfam's summary of the family: Transfer RNA (tRNA) molecules are approximately 80 nucleotides in length. Their secondary structure includes four short double-helical elements and three loops (D, anti-codon, and T loops). The record is from RNAcentral.